This is an RNA transcript of Halichondria panicea, 3239 nucleotides long. RefSeq lists it as uncharacterized. NCBI's taxonomy places the organism in Eukaryota, Metazoa, Porifera, Demospongiae, Suberitida, Halichondriidae. The transcript is spliced from 7 exons. The record is from RefSeq and is a predicted model, not a curated record.
CAUUUAUUUUUAUCCCACACAUUAUAUACCGUAUAGCGGGAAAUUAUCGCGGGUGCACAUUUUCGCUAUUUGGCUCCAGAGCUCUAAGCAGAAAUGUUUGUCUAGUAUUAUGUUUAAUGCCAGGAAACCACACCCACCAAUAGCUUUGCAUGUGAAAUACCGGUGCGUGGGAGUUUAUCCCAUUUUCGUGUCUUCUUUUUGCCCUCGAAAAGCUCACCUCACGAAAUUUCCCGCUGUACGGUAUACGAUUGUACAAUGUACGAUUCUCUCAAUUUGUACAAAACUGAUAUACAUGUACAUUUACAUGCAUUCUUAGUGUGUCGUGGAUUAUGUAUGAUAUUUACCAGUCCCUAUAUUUAAAGUCGCCUCUGAUUUAUAGGUGAGUGCAUUGUUAGUUGUUACUAACUUUGUUCUACAUAGCUUGGCACACAUGUACUUUGAUGGGUGAUUAUAUACACUAGUUUGACAUUAUUUUGUCUUCGGACAUUCACCAUAACUGUGAAAGGUACAUAGUAUGAAGAUAGAUAUGCACUGUCUAGGCAAUAAUUAUUAGUUAUUGUUAUAAUGCUAGAAAAACAUAGUGAUACCUUUGUUGUUUAUAAUGGAGAUAUUGGGCCAGUGUAAAUACCGUUUUCAAUACAGCGCUCCACUCCAAUUGAGCACCAAGCGGAAUUAUUUUUUGCUGGCACUUAGAAAGAAAUUAUAGCUUGGCUUGAAAUCGAGGCUAUAGCAAGGGCGUAUGAAGAGAAGAGGGCAUGCAACUACAAUCAUUACAUGCAACUACAAUUUACAAAUAGGCGGGGUUUAUGUCUAAAAAUAGUAAACAAUAAUUAUUUAUUGCACGUGUAUACUUUAUACUCUAGACUAGCCUUUUUUUACUCUAUUCCCUAGUGGGAGGUUGGGCUAAAUAUAGCAUAUCCUGCUGACUCAUCAAUGAUACGACGCAUACACAAUAUACUUUGUGAGUUGCAUGCCCUCUUUUCAUACGCCUUUGGCUAUACACACGUAAUCAGGUGGCCUUGUGGAACAGCUACUAUUUUCUAUUCCAAUGCUAUAUAAUUAUAAGCGCCAACUAUAAUUAUGUAAAAUUAUUGUUCUAUUUGCGCGUCACUGGAAAAUCCUCAUUAAUUGUUUGUGGCCCUGUAGUUAGAAGUAACUGUAACUUGUAUGUAUGAUCAAAUGUGCAUGGUUUGAUCUACAUGUAUUGUGCAUUGUACGUACUUCACCAGAAUGGACAACUGAAACACACACACAAUAAUAUUUACACCUUAAUGAUAAAGGAAUACUAUAUUUGCUAUCAAAGGUAUAUACCCCCGGUAGUGAUGUCAAUAAAAAUGUGUACUAUACCUAUCAUAUAGUUCAAAGAGGCUACAAGACAGACUUUCAUCAUGCAUAUCAUGUUACAUGUACUACACUGCGUUUACGCAACCACACUCCAGCACUUCACUAUUAAUUUUUAGUGCAUUUGCAUGACUGUGAAUAAUGUUUUACUUUACUGAGUGCUGCCUUAAAACAUUGUUAGGGAGGUUGGAGGUGUCCAUGCUAUAAUGUACGUACUCAAAUGGGAAUGCAUGACUGUACUUUGUUGACACAAGGGUAUGAGUACUAAAAGCUAACAUUCUUGGUUAAUGACUGCAUGUUUUGUUUCCACGUCAGCACAAUGCACAAUGCAAUACAAGUGCAGCACAGGAAUGACCUCAUAUAAAAGGUUGUAACGAUUGAUUUGAUGCUCUAGUUACAUACGCUUCGACUGCAUCCCAUUGAAUAGUGUAUAGGAGUUAAUGUUUAUAUAGUUAUGACCACAUAAAUCUACUGUUUGUUUUUCCAUUAGCCACUUUCAAAAUCAAUUCCUUUUUAGUCACAGUUUAAGCUGUUGUGAUGUUUUUAGUUUGACUAUUUAUAGUUGUCCAAACUGAACAUGAAUGUUUAUAUAAUGAGUGCAGUUUUUCUAUAUAAUUAUGGUUGUGGUUGGGGUUGUCAUGGAAGCGUUCCAGUAAACUUGUCGGCUUAAAAUGCAUUCUCGUAUUGAUCGAUACAUGUACAGAUCUAGAUACAGGAUUGGUAAAGAUCACACUAUGAAUAGGACAGUUUCAGUAUUAAUGUCAGGUUUCUAUGUGUCAGUAAAUAGCUUAGUACAUGUAGAUCUACUACACUCAGGAUCUGAUGGACAAGAGUUUGACAUCAUUCACUUUCUUUUUUAUGAUAGGGUCAUUCAUCAUAGCUGUAAAAGCUCAGUUCACAAUACAGCCAGAGUCAGUGGAGAGCACCGAGGGACUGGAGGCAGUGUUCUGGUGUCAGUAUCAAGUGGAGGGAUUGACUGUUACUUAUGAUUGGGCAAUAAACAAUUCCUUUGUUGGAGCAGAUUCAGAAACUGUUAGAGCUCGUCGACCUUCAUCUCCUGGUGGUACAACUACACUGACAAUCUUGACCACUCCACAGCACGACAACUCUGUUGUUCAGUGUCUGGCUGUAAUCAGAAAUGGCAUUUUUAUUGUAAGGUCUGAAGUAUCGAUCACAGCAACUCUAACUGUUCAUGGAACGGUCAUCACUAAUGUUCUGACUGCUCCAAACACCAUUACCGUGACAUGGAAUGCUCUACCUCUCACUGAGUAUUGUGUGGACAUCAACAGUACAACUCUGGAAUCAACUCAAACAGUUGUUUUUGAUUCUGUGUGUGGACUGGUUAAUGGAGUACAUCUUCACGUACUCCAACCCCAUCAGUGUGUGUGACAGAUUCUCCUUCACUGUGACUCCUACUGAAGGAGAGAUGAGGGGAACAACCAGUGAACCAGUUACUGGGUUCUUUACGAGGGCAGAAGGUAGUAUUGAAGAACGACAUCGUGUUCGUGAAAGUGAGGAGAAUAAGUCAGUAGGGUUUAAAGCCAUUAUACCAAGUUGCACAAGGUUCACUCGGUAUCAUGUGGACUCUGACCUAUUGACUACCCCAAUCAACCUUCCAAUCACGGACCCUCUUCUGUUUGAUGGCUCACUCAGUUUCUCCCUCCCCACUGACAAGAUGACAGAAUACAGUGUCACACUGACUGAUGAGAAUGGAAUAGACCUCGUGUUUGAAAAUAUUCCAAUCAGUACAUUUGAUGUUCAAGACCUCCUAGUGUCUGAAUGUCCUGGUGGUGGUGAUCUUUGUUUGAACAUUGUGUAUGUUGAAGGUACUGUCUCUCCCGGAGCUCUUGUCUGUGUGAUACGUAUCAUUGAUGGAUAGUUGAAUUUUGCUAGUAUGA